AGGCGGGUUCGGCGGUG
Molecule: microRNA, 17 nt
Filed under: Corchorus olitorius
Lineage: Eukaryota; Viridiplantae; Streptophyta; Magnoliopsida; Malvales; Malvaceae
Description: hsa-miR-36
Source: RNAcentral